CCUACGGGAGGCAGCAGUGGGGAAUAUUGCACAAUGGGGGAAACCCUGAUGCAGCAACGCCGCGUGAGUGAAGAAGUAUUUCGGGAUGUAAAGCUCUAUUAGCAGGGAAGAAGAUGACGGUACCUGAUUAAGCAGCCCCGGCCAACUCGGUGCCAGCAGGCGUGGUACUACGUAGGGGGCAAGCGUUAUCCGGAUUUACUGGGGGUAAAGGGAGCGCAGAGGGGAGUGCAAGUCUGGAGUGAAAGCCCGGGGCCCAACCCCGGAACUGCACUGGAAACUGUGAGGCUAGAGUACUGGAGGGGCAGGCGGAAUGCGUAGUGUAGCGGUGAAAUGCGUAGAUAUUAGGAGGAACGCCGGUGGCGAAGGCAGCCUGCUGGACAGUAACUGACGUUGAGGCUCGAAAGCGUGGGGAGCAAACAGGAUUAGAUACCCCAGUAGUC
This 440-nucleotide ribosomal RNA is filed under the name uncultured bacterium. Its description in RNAcentral is "partial 16S ribosomal RNA". It matches the Rfam family "Bacterial small subunit ribosomal RNA", at positions 338 to 795 of the family's 1533-position model. The record is from RNAcentral.